RNAcentral lists this long non-coding RNA (270 nucleotides) under Pan troglodytes (chimpanzee). Its description in RNAcentral is "long non-coding RNA NONPTRT015685". Lineage: Eukaryota; Metazoa; Chordata; Mammalia; Primates; Hominidae. The record is from RNAcentral.
GCCACAGCCACUGAGCAGAGAGAGAUGAUCACCCACCUGGAGCAGGACCUGAGCAUCAUUCAGUCCAUCCAGUGGCCCGAUGCUGAGGGUGCCGCUGAGCACCGCCUGGAGAAGAUCCCAGAGCCCAUCAAAGAGGCCACUGCCCUAUUCUAUGGACCUGCAGCACCAGCCAGCGGCGCCCUCCCAGAGGGCCAGGUGGAUUCACUGCUUUCCAUCAUCUCCAGCCAGAGGGAGCGCUUCUGUGCCCGGAACCAGGAGCUUGAGGCCGUG